UACGUAGGGGGCAAGCGUUGUUCGGAUUCAUCGGGCGUAAAGGGUGCGUAGGCGGCGCGGUAAGUCGGGUGUGAAAUCUUGGAGCUUAACUCCGAAACUGCAUUCGAUACUGCCGUGCUUGAGGACUGGAGAGGAGACUGGAAUUUACGGUGUAGCGGUGAAAUGCGUAGAUAUCGUAAGGAAGACCAGUGGCGAAGGCGGGUCUCUGGACAGUUCCUGACGCUGAGGCACGAAGGCCAGGGGAGCAAACGGG
This 253-nucleotide ribosomal RNA is filed under the name uncultured bacterium. RNAcentral describes it as "partial 16S ribosomal RNA". It matches the Rfam family "Bacterial small subunit ribosomal RNA", at positions 524 to 776 of the family's 1533-position model. The record is from RNAcentral.